This 396-nucleotide ribosomal RNA is filed under the name uncultured bacterium. RNAcentral's name for it is "partial 16S ribosomal RNA". It matches the Rfam family "Bacterial small subunit ribosomal RNA", at positions 523 to 918 of the family's 1533-position model. The record is from RNAcentral.
AUACGUAGGUGGCGAGCGUUAUCCGGAUUUACUGGGUGUAAAGGGCGCGUAGGCGGGGAAGCAAGUCGGGUGUGAAAUCUAUGGGCUUAACCCAUAAACUGCACUUGAAACUGUUUCUCUUGAGUGCUGGAGAGGUAGACGGAAUUCCUUGUGUAGCGGUGAAAUGCGUAGAUAUAAGGAAGAGCACCAGUGGCGAAGGCGGUCUACUGGACAGUAACUGACGCUGAGGCGCGAAAGCGUGGGGAGCAAACAGGAUUAGAUACCCUGGUAGUCCACGCUGUAAACGAUGAAUACUAGGUGUGGGGGGACUGACCCCCUCCGUGCCGCAGUUAACACAAUAAGUAUUCCACCUGGGGAGUACGGCCGCAAGGUUGAAACUCAAAUGAAUUGGCGGGG